AGAGUUUGAUCCUGGCUCACGACGAACGCUGGCGGCGUGCUUAAUACAUGCAAGUCAUAGGGGUUAUUUCCUUCGGGAGAUUGGUCACUGGCGCACGGGUGCGUAACGCGUAAGUUAUCUGCCCUUGGGUCUGGCAUAACGUCGGGAAACCGGCGCUAAUUCCAGAUGAUAUCAUAAGAUCAAAGCCUUCGGGCGCCCAAGGAUGAGCUUGCGUCUGAUUAGCUUGUUGGCGGGGUAAUGGCCCACCAAGGCAACGAUCAGUAGCCGGUCUGAGAGGAUGAUCGGCCACAUUGGGACUGAGACACGGCCCAGACUCCUACGGGAGGCAGCAGUAAGGAAUAUUGCGCAAUGGACGAAAGUCUGACGCAGCAACGCCGCGUGCAGGAUGAAGGCCCUUUGGGUUGUAAACUGCUGUAGAAAGGGAAUAAUAGUUUGCCACCGGGUGAACUUGAAGGUACCUUUAAAGUAAGCGCCGGCUAACUACGUGCCAGCAGCCGCGGUAAUACGUAGGGCGCAAGCGUUGUCCGGAUUCACUGGGUGUAAAGGGUGCGCAGGCGGAUUGGCAAGUCAGAGGUGAAAUCUCACGGCUCAACCGUGAAACUGCCUUUGAUACUGCUUAUCUUGAGUUCGGGAGAGGUUGAUGGAAUUCCAGGUGUAGCGGUGAAAUGCGUAGAUAUCUGGAAGAACACCAGUGGCGAAGGCGGUCAACUGGCCCUGAACUGACGCUCAUGCACGAAAGCGUGGGGAUCAAACAGGAUUAGAUACCCCUGGUAGUCCACGCCCUAAACGAUGUAUGCUUGGUGUUGGCUCUUUAUGAGUCAGUGCCGUAGGUAACCUGUUAAGCAUACCACCUGGGGAGUACGCUCGCAAGGGUGAAACUCAAAGGAAUUGACGG
This 895-nucleotide ribosomal RNA is filed under the name uncultured bacterium. RNAcentral describes it as "bacterial SSU rRNA". It matches the Rfam family "Bacterial small subunit ribosomal RNA", at positions 8 to 916 of the family's 1533-position model. The record is from RNAcentral.